GAGUUUGAUCGUGGCUCAGAUUGAACGCUGGCGGCAUGCCUUACACAUGCAAGUCUAACGGCAGCAUGAUCUAGCUUGCUAGAUUGAUGGCGAGUGGCGAACGGGUGAGUAAUACAUCGGAACGUGCCCUGUAGUGGGGGAUAACUAGUCGAAAGAUUAGCUAAUACCGCAUACGACCUGAGGGUGAAAGUGGGGGACCGCAAGGCCUCAUGCUAUAGGGGCGGCCGAUGUCUGAUUAGCUAGUUGGUGGGGUAAAGGCCCACCAAGGCGACGAUCAGUAGCUGGUCUGAGAGGACGAUCAGCCACACUGGGACUGAGACACGGCCCAGACUCCUACGGGAGGCAGCAGUGGGGAAUUUUGGACAAUGGGCGAAAGCCUGAUCCAGCAAUGCCGCGUGUGUGAGAAGGCCU
Molecule: ribosomal RNA, 411 nt
Filed under: uncultured microorganism
Description: bacterial SSU rRNA
Rfam family: Bacterial small subunit ribosomal RNA
Source: RNAcentral